This 23-nucleotide small nuclear RNA is filed under the name Arabidopsis thaliana (thale cress). Its description in RNAcentral is "snRNA_01153". The record is from RNAcentral. Lineage: Eukaryota; Viridiplantae; Streptophyta; Magnoliopsida; Brassicales; Brassicaceae.
UGUAGCGGUUUAUUGUCCGCCCC